GGUUAUAGCUCAAUGGUAGAGCGCUUGCCUCACACGCUUGAAUUACUGGGUUUGAUCCUCAGCACCA
This 67-nucleotide transfer RNA is filed under the name Marmota monax (woodchuck). RNAcentral describes it as "tRNA.Val". Lineage: Eukaryota; Metazoa; Chordata; Mammalia; Rodentia; Sciuridae. The record is from RNAcentral.